This is a long non-coding RNA of Cyprinus carpio carpio, 1183 nucleotides long. The record is from Ensembl. NCBI's taxonomy places the organism in Eukaryota, Metazoa, Chordata, Actinopteri, Cypriniformes, Cyprinidae.
AAAAAGACAAAGUUAAGUGCAGGGGUGUCAAAACCAGCUCCUGGAGGACUAACGUCCUGGAGAGCUUAGCUCCAAAUCACUUUAACACACCUGACUGAAAGUUGCCAGUACAGAUCCUGAAGACAUUGAUUAGCUGUUUCAGCUUUAAUUAGGUUUGGGGCUAAACUCUGCAAGACAAAUGUCCUCCGGGAGCAGGAUUGGACACUUCUGACCAGGAAGGGGCGCUGUCUUAUUAUUAGAAGGUUGGCUAUCCUAGAACAUCCUGUCUCGAGGACUGGGAUAAGUGCUUUCAAUCUGAGACAUUCAGGUGUUAUAAAGCUACCCUUUCUAUCACACAAAAUAACUGUUUUGAUUUAAAUUCUAUUCAUCAAAAGUAAUAAAUGCAGUAUCGAGGAACUGUGCAGCCAUGAUCAGACAUAAUUAUGCUAAUCUCUUUUAUUCCCACCCUCUCUUUCUCCCCUUUUCUUUUUCUACCCCACUCGUCACCUCACUUUCGGUCUGUAAGAAGCCAUCAAGCGGAGUUGAGAGGAAAUGGUACUGAAGGUCAGGAGUAGGGAAGAAAUGUCCUUUGGGUUCAGAGCACUGCAGUUUGAUCUAUCAAAGAGGCAUGGACAGAACCUUUCUGAGAUUGCAGAUGUGGGGACAGAAGAGCGGAAUGUGGGGGAAGCCAUACUCGAUGAACAUUCAAAGUGACCUAGUGAAAACUGAGGGAAAAGAAAAGACCAAACACUGAACCCAGCGAAUUCCAGUGGUGAGGAAUUGGAGUCUUUUCAAAUGACUUGGUAAGAGUUUUUAACCAGGUAACAUAUACACCAGAAAGCAAACAAAUCCAGAAGUAUUAGUAAAAAGUGAUAUGGUUUCAGAAACAGUGUCCAAUCCUGCUUCUGACGCACCAGUAUCUUGCAUAUUUUAGCUCCAAUCCUUUGAAACAAACCUGAAGCAUUUAAUCAAGGUCUUCAGGAAUGCUAGAAACUAGGCAGGUGUGUUGGGACAGGUUAAAGAAAAACUCUGCAAGACUUUGGCCCUCCAGAAGCAGGAUUAAACACCACCACAAUGUUUUACGGCAAGGAAAGUGGUUUUAUUUGAUUUGUGAAAUGUUUGUAACUUGAAUUUGAUACGGGCCAACUAGGUUUUUAAUUUCUUUGAUUGCAGCUUGUUCCAAAGCUUUAGCUUUGAAAGGGAC